This 159-nucleotide unclassified non-coding RNA is filed under the name soil metagenome. RNAcentral describes it as "partial internal transcribed spacer 1". The record is from RNAcentral.
GUGAUUAAAUCGAGCAGCGCUCUUCAUUGACCGCUCACCCUUCUACACAUCCACAUACAGCCUGUGGCUACUGUUUAGCCUGAGCCGGUUUUCCGGUCCAGGUUAUCAUUUCAUACAAACUCUAGUCUUAUGAAUGUAGAACGUUUUAAUAACAUAAUA